ACACGGAGGGCACGAGCGUUGUUCGGAAUUAUUGGGCGUAAAGCGCGUGUAGGCGGCUGGGUAAGUCGGAUGUGAAAGCCCGGGGCUCAACCCCGGAAUUGCACUCGAAACUGCCUAGCUAGAGUCUCGGAGAGGAGAGUGGAAUUCCUAGUGUAGAGGUGAAAUUCGUAGAUAUUGGGAAGAACACCAGUUGCGAAGGCGGCCACCUGGACCGGUACUGACGCUGAGGUGCGAAAGCGUGGGGAGCAAACAGGAUUAGAUACCCCGGUAGUCC
RNAcentral lists this ribosomal RNA (274 nucleotides) under uncultured bacterium. RNAcentral's name for it is "partial 16S ribosomal RNA". It matches the Rfam family "Bacterial small subunit ribosomal RNA", at positions 523 to 796 of the family's 1533-position model. The record is from RNAcentral.